Molecule: transfer RNA, 87 nt
Filed under: Perkinsus olseni
Lineage: Eukaryota; Perkinsozoa; Perkinsida; Perkinsidae
Description: tRNA-Sec
Rfam family: Selenocysteine transfer RNA
Source: RNAcentral
GCACUGGUGACCCGGGCUGGUGCUCGGUCAGGACUUCAAAUCCUGGGGCGUCGGGAGGCGCAGGCGUUCGAUUCGCCCUCCGGUGCG